RNAcentral lists this ribosomal RNA (252 nucleotides) under uncultured bacterium. RNAcentral describes it as "partial 16S ribosomal RNA". It matches the Rfam family "Bacterial small subunit ribosomal RNA", at positions 524 to 776 of the family's 1533-position model. The record is from RNAcentral.
UACGGAGGAUGCGAGCGUUAUCCGGAUUUAUUGGGUUUAAAGGGUGCGUAGGCGGACGCUUAAGUCAGCGGUAAGAUUGCGGGGCUCAACCUCGUCGAGCCGUUGAAACUGGGUGUCUUGAGUGGGCGAGAAGUACGCGGAAUGCGUGGUGUAGCGGUGAAAUGCAUAGAUAUCACGCAGAACUCCGAUUGCGAAGGCAGCGUACCGGCGCCCAACUGACGCUGAAGCACGAAGGCGUGGGUAUCGAACAGG